AGGAGGCUGUGGAAGAGAAGCUAAGGGGAACUUGCAUUUCAGCUUCAGGAGUUGAUGUUACUGGUUUCUGUUUAAACCUUCUUCUUUGUGAUCCAGGUAUAGGCAGACCUCGGAGAUAUUGCUGGUUGAGUUCCAGACUGCGGCAAUAAAGGGAAUAUCGUAAUAAAUUAUAACAUCAAAGAUCACUGAUCACAAAUCACCAUAACAACCAUAAGAAUAAUGAAAAUGUUUGGAAUAUUUGGAGAAUUACCAGAAUGUGGCACAGAGACAGGACGUGAGCAAAUGCUGUUGGAAAAAUGGUGUCGAUAGCCUUGCUCGACGCAGGGUUGUCACAAACCUUGUUUGUAAAAAGUACAAUAUCUUCGAAGUGCAAUAAAGCGAGCACUGAACUUGACUCUCUCCUAUCAAUUAAAACUCAGCUUGGAUAUUAUCAGCUCCAGGACCAUCAGCCCCCAGAUAACUGGGUAAG
This is a non-coding RNA of Delphinapterus leucas (beluga whale), 469 nucleotides long. NCBI's taxonomy places the organism in Eukaryota, Metazoa, Chordata, Mammalia, Artiodactyla, Monodontidae. The record is from RefSeq and is a predicted model, not a curated record.